CGAAUUGAAAGAAUGAAAGCAGUAAUGAUGUACUGUAUAACGGUUUAAACUUAGCCGGCCGUACAGCUCACUGCCACCGGUCACGUACUGAGCCGAAGGAUAAACCGAAAAUUCACUUUUCUCAUCACAAGAUUUAAUGUUCAGUCGAUCCGCUACAUUGAAAGAUGAGUAUACUUGGCUAUUUUUUGGCAGGGGUAACGAAAUAUAUCGGCUGUUCUCUACAGUAAGUGUUUCUUUAUGUGUUGCCCAUCGGAAUAUAAUAUAACUACAUACAUAAGCUUGAUAGAUGUAAGAUAACGAGUUUCACAAUCCCAUUUUAAAUACUAUGGCUUUUGGCAGCCUGGUUUUGCAUCAUAUGUGUUUUUCAGUAAAAGCCCCACUUUCCUACUUCCCCAACGUGUAAUACGCGAAAAAACUUUGUUAAUAAUAACAAAAAAUUGUAAUAGUAAACAGUGUAUUUUAUUAUAAAGGAUUUUCG
Paramuricea clavata is the source of this 478-nucleotide non-coding RNA. The record is from the annotation of a GenBank genome assembly. Lineage: Eukaryota; Metazoa; Cnidaria; Anthozoa; Malacalcyonacea; Plexauridae.